Molecule: ribosomal RNA, 498 nt
Filed under: uncultured bacterium
Lineage: Bacteria
Description: partial 16S ribosomal RNA
Rfam family: Bacterial small subunit ribosomal RNA
Source: RNAcentral
AUUGAACGCUGGCGGCAUGCCUUACACAUGCAAGUCGAACGGUAACAGGUCUUCGGAUGCUGACGAGUGGCGAACGGGUGAGUAAUACAUCGGAACGUGCCUAGUAGUGGGGGAUAACUACUCGAAAGAGUGGCUAAUACCGCAUGAGAUCUACGGAUGAAGGCAGGGGAUCGCAAGACCUUGUGCUACUAGAGCGGCCGAUGGCAGAUUAGGUAGUUGGUGGGAUAAAAGCUUACCAAGCCGACGAUCUGUAGCUGGUCUGAGAGGACGAUCAGCCACACUGGGACUGAGACACGGCCCAGACUCCUACGGGAGGAAGCAGUGGGGAAUUUUGGACAAUGGGCGCAAGCCUGAUCCAGCAAUGCCGCGUGCAGGAUGAAGGCCUUCGGGUUGUAAACUGCUUUUGUACGGAACGAAAAGCCCUGGGUUAAUACCCUGGGGUCAUGACGGUACCGUAAGAAUAAGCACCGGCUAACUACGUGCCAGCCGCCGCCGUAA